RNAcentral lists this transfer RNA (85 nucleotides) under Felis catus (domestic cat). It matches the Rfam family "tRNA". From Rfam's summary of the family: Transfer RNA (tRNA) molecules are approximately 80 nucleotides in length. Their secondary structure includes four short double-helical elements and three loops (D, anti-codon, and T loops). Lineage: Eukaryota; Metazoa; Chordata; Mammalia; Carnivora; Felidae. The record is from Rfam by way of RNAcentral.
ACCUGGGUGGCUCAGUCGGUUAAGCGUCAGACUUCGACUCAGAUCCUGAUCUUGCAGUUCGUGGGUUCGAGCCCCACAUCAGGCU